GGCCUAGUGGCGAAAUGAAUCGCGCCCUCACUUGUUGAUGAUUUUCCAUGACCGAUACUCGAGGGAGUUCCCGGUUCGAAUCCGGGCUAAGUCA
This is a non-coding RNA of Mycena latifolia, 94 nucleotides long. NCBI's taxonomy places the organism in Eukaryota, Fungi, Basidiomycota, Agaricomycetes, Agaricales, Mycenaceae. The record is from the annotation of a GenBank genome assembly.